Listeria innocua Clip11262 is the source of this 116-nucleotide non-coding RNA. The record is from Rfam. Lineage: Bacteria; Bacillati; Bacillota; Bacilli; Caryophanales; Listeriaceae.
UAGAGAUUGUCAUUUGAAAUAAGCUAGUUAAGAAUAAAUCACUUCCCCCAUAGAAAUGUUCUUAACAGCUUAUUGCAAAUAAACACUCCUUUUAAGAUAGUUGUAGCACAGAAUUU